CAGCCAGUAUAUUAUGCGAUUUGUGGCAGAUUUGGAAUAAACUGCCAAUUUAUCAUCUAUUCUAUUAGAUAAAGGACAAAAAAAAUCCUUAAUUUCCAUUUUUUUUUUCUUUUUACAUCCAGUGUAAAUCCCCAUUCUUCUUCUUUUCCAUAUCAGAUGAGAGCUACCCGAUACCUACCCAUCUUCGCGAGAGCCACCCGCUCUAUUUGGUGAGUGGCGAUUGUUCGUCCCUAUCUUUGUUGUAUUUAGAGAUUAAAAUGAAGCUCCGUGUUGCAGAUGCGGCAGAGAUCUCCACUCGAUUCGUGUUCUCUCCUUAUUCGACAUCCGUUCUCAGCUACUCUGCCUGCUCGUUGAGAUCCACCAUCAAUUUCCCUCCAACAGCGGGCUUCAAAUCUGGGGCUUGCUCCUAUUUGACAUCCAUCGCUUGCGCUUCAAACCAGGCGAGCCUCUCCAUCCUAUUGGAGCGCUGCAGAUACUAUCCAUGGGUUUAUUGAUGAAGAGGAUGAUGGUGACUUCUUGCAAACAACAGAGCCAAAGAGGACAAGUGGCAAGACACUACGUGACAUCUUGGAGGCCCUUCCCCGAGAAUGGAUAUCUGAAGAUCUAAUGGAGGCACUCAUGAAUAGAGGAGUUCAUCUUUCUCCUACAAUGUGAGCAUAAGACAUCAUUUCGAGCUAAUUUUCUUUUUAUUAGGUAUUGGUAUUUAAUUAUUUAUUUUCUACCAUGUGACUUCUAUCCAUUAAAAUGUAUUUCUCAUUGGCUGUAUUUAGAUUAGAAGUGGGAGACUGGGUGAAAUUUAUUGGAACUAUCACAGCUCCUACCUAUGGGUGGCAAGGUGCUAGACCAAAGAGUAUUGGAUUUGUGCAAAGUAUUCAAGAUCGUGAUAAUCUUAUCGUUUUAUUUUGUUCUGGAGAAGUUUAUGUUUUAGCAAAUGAAGUUGUAAAACUCAUUUCAUUAGACUGAGGGCAACAUGUACAGUUGAAAAAGGACGUGAAUAAAUAAAAAAAUAUAUUUAUAGUAUU
Non-coding RNA from Arachis ipaensis, 1022 nucleotides. NCBI's taxonomy places the organism in Eukaryota, Viridiplantae, Streptophyta, Magnoliopsida, Fabales, Fabaceae. The record is from RefSeq and is a predicted model, not a curated record.